RNA transcript from Quercus robur (English oak), 1948 nucleotides. RefSeq lists it as uncharacterized. The record is from RefSeq and is a predicted model, not a curated record. The transcript has 3 exons. NCBI's taxonomy places the organism in Eukaryota, Viridiplantae, Streptophyta, Magnoliopsida, Fagales, Fagaceae.
AAAGAAAGAAAGAAAAGAAAAGCAAUUUAUAAGUGCGAGUAAAUUCCCGGUGGGAAUAAUAUUCCGUCGAACGGCAAACGCUCACCUUCAGUCUCAGCCUCAGGCAAUGAAGAAGCCGAGUCAACCCCCCAAAAUCAAGGACAAGAAUGAAUCGCUCCUUCCCAACAACGAAAAGAAGCCCCUUUCUUCUUCUUCUCCUUCUACUUCUUCUUCUUCCUCCUCUAUAUCCCCAAACCCAAACCAAAACCCAAACGACACCGUUCCAGUCCCCAAGAAGAUAACCAGAGAUCUCCCCAAUCUAUCCGAAUGCCACGCUUGCGGGUUGAGAACCGACACCGCCAACCCUAACCCUAAAAGGCAAAGACUCCAAACCUUGCGCAGCGAAUGGCGCAUCGUUCUUCUCUGCAACAAGUGUUUCCUCCGCGUCAACUCCUCCCACAUCUGCUCCUACUGUUUUCUCCAAGCCGACCACUCCUCCUUCCUCUGCCGCCUCUGUAACCGCCGCGUCCAUAGCCACUGCUUUCACAACAAUCGGCACGUCGCGCCCUGGUCCUACGCUUCUUCCGAUGAAUUCUCCGUCUGCGUCGAUUGCUGGGUGCCCAAGCCCAUUGCGCUUUCCCGGAGUCGGAGUCGGAGUCAGAGUCAGAACAACUUCAAGGGCAAUUCCGACGAGUCGUCUAGGGUAUUGCCUGAAUUCAAUUCUGUCAAAUCGCUCCAAGACGCCGCCAAUGAUGCCAGUUCUGUGGCCAAGAACAAGAUCGAGGCCGCCGUGAAGGCCAGAGAGGAGGCCGUGAGGAAAGCCUUGGUGGCUAGGAAGGCCGUGGAGUUGGCCAAUACUGCUCUUGAUUUGGUUGCUUCUGACGCUAACAAUAAGGAGGAGGAGGUUUUUAUCGAUGAUGUGGAAUUAGCGUUUCGGUUGCACCGGGUUAUGAAUAGCUCCCCAAGGAUAUCCAGCAACUUUUGCUCCUUGAAUACCAGUUGCUUGGCUAUUGUUCCGAGGUCGGCGGCCUCGGGGAAUCCUAGCGUUUGUGGGAAGCUUCAACUUUGCAGUGAUAACAAGUUGUGUGAAAAUCCUGAUAAAAGUGUUUCAGAACCAUCAGUUUGUGUUCGGCCUUCAGAUGGGGAUGGGAAUUCUUCCAAUUCUAAUGGAGAUGACAAUACUAUGGACUCUGCCAAUCUAUCCUCUGGUAAUGAAUGCAAACCUUCUACUACUACUACUAUGCCUAAGGAUAGAUAUCGGUUUAAGUAUUGUAGAUUCAAGCCUGCUAAUGUGCCUAAGGAUAGAUAUCGGAUUAAGUAUUGUAGAUGCAAGCCUGCUAAUGUGCCUAAGGAUAGAUAUCGGUUUAAGUAUUGUAGAUGCAAACCUGCAAGGCCUAAGGAUAGAUAUCGAGUUAAGUAUUGUAGGAGAAACUUUAGAUUGAAAACACUUGUUGAUUGUAAACAAUCCAAGUUCUCUUGCGACGGGUUUGACCUGGUUAACGAGGGCUCUGCUUCUGCUCCUGCUCCUGGACUAGUUACGGCUUGUUCCAAUGAAUCGAUGACAAUUUCCAAUGCUACAUUAUUGCAGUGCUGUGUGGUUCCUUUACAACCUUCUGGUUGUGCAAGUGGUUCAUUUCAAGACCAGUCAUCAAGGCAAUAGGUCCUAAUUGAUAUUGCUUGCUCACUUUGAGAUAACUUUGAUUGGUGAAUCAAAGAUGUGUAAUCCUGAUAACUAGAUUGACAAAACAAAAGUUGUGGAAUAGAAGAGCUGAUGCUUGAGUGCUAACUUCUUGUAGUCACAUAGUUGCUUGCGGCAGUAACAAUGUUGAUACUAGGAUUUGAAGAGACUUGUACAAGGAACUGAAAGCUAGAUUUAAGUAAUAUCCUUUCAUAUAGGAGGUAAUUGUAUAAUUGGUGAGUUAUCUACUUGCAUUUGUUUCGUCUGGGGGAAAAAGGGAUUUUUUUUUUU